CGACAGCUGCUUGAGAGGAACUCAGAUGAAAUUGGACAGAGGGAGCUCUGGAAAAUCCCCCUUCAGCUGCGUCUUCAUGCCGUGUUUUCUGAAAGCUCUGAUGUUGUGCUGUUGCUGAGUCUAUGGUUGAAUUCGGAGCGACUGUCAACAAUGUGAAGUGCCCCUGCCGGGAUUGGGAGAUGCCCUUGAGCGACACAUCAACACGAGGCACUAAAAACCCUCAUGCCGCCUCAACUAAAUGACUCCCAUUCACAGCUCACACUGACCAACACAGCCUCUCUGCCCACCGGCUCCCUCAGAGUAGAGGUCAGGUCAGAGGCCACCUGGCUGAAACCACGUCUCAGAGCAUGAGCAAACCUGGAGACAAAGGCCUCUGCUGUUGGAAGAUCUGACGCUCGGGUGCCAAACUUUCACCUUAACCCCCCCCCAUCCCAUCCAGUGUGAAGAAAACCCCUGGGGGAUGCUUCACCGGGGGGCCGCGAACACUCGGGCCUCUGCGACAGCAAAGUUUGGACGCUGUCACGAGGAGAGUCACACUGGGAACUCAUCAGCGAGAGAAAGGUGGGGGAAAAUAAAGGAGGCGACGCACCUCUGCUUUGGCUCGCAGACAAAGACGCUCAGAGACGACGCGGCGACCUUUAUGGUCUCCAUUUCCCUGCCACCUCAUUUGACAUCAUCCGACGAUGAGCUGUCGGGAUUGAUUUUCUGAAUGUGUCUAAAUGCUACUUGGGCUGCUUUUUUUUAUUGUUUCAAAGACAGAUUUACAAAACUGACUAAUAAAAAAAGAAGGCUUAAUUGAAACAAUACGCUGUGAAAUUAGAUGAAAGCGUAUUGGUUUCUUGGUGCCACUGAUGUCCUGAAAAUCCUGUGUGUUGAGUUUUGCAGAUAAGAGUUAAAGAAACGCAGGCUGGCAGCGGGCCCUUCUCUUCUCACAUCCUCAGUAAAGCAACAUGGGAGACCAGGGGUUUGGUCUUAAGAAGAAGUAAGUAGAGUUUGUUAUUUCACCGCCUUUGACUAAGGUCAUACCAAAUUAACAGACGACUGACUGAAUAAA
Scophthalmus maximus (turbot) is the source of this 1054-nucleotide long non-coding RNA. RefSeq lists it as uncharacterized. NCBI's taxonomy places the organism in Eukaryota, Metazoa, Chordata, Actinopteri, Pleuronectiformes, Scophthalmidae. The transcript has 4 exons. The record is from RefSeq and is a predicted model, not a curated record.